GUAUUGAUAACGUAAUUAAUAUUAAAAUAUCUAAUCAUAGGUUUCUGUCAGUAACAUCCAUCAGUGGUUCAGGAGAAAACUUUCGCCUAAAAUUAAUGCUAGCAUUUGACCAGGUCUUCAGCUUUCGCCAAUGUUAUAAUGCUUAUUUUUUGAAAUACUCGACCUUCUUUUAUUGUAAAGAAAGGUGAUGGGUUACAAAUGCUACUAAUCAAGAAUGGAAAUGGCUUUUCUCUUUUGGGUGAGUGGGAACAUAUGGAUGGUACUGGUAAGGAGUGAUCAUGAAUAAUUUAGAAUAACUUGAGCUCUUGUGUGGUAGUAAAAAUGAAAUAUGCAUUGGUUAAAUGAGAGAGAACUAUGCUAUUUGGGUUUGAGGUCGUUGCAGUAACAUACACGUACUAUAAUUCUUUUUUUUUCCCUCCACUGUUGAAAAUGUGUAAUAGAAUAAGUAAUGCUGUGAAGCCAAUCGAGGAAUGAAGCCAGAUGCAUUUUAAUGCAAUCACUUGGGAAGUUUGAGCAGUUAGAAAUCACAACUUCCAAGAAAGAAAUUGCUGAUAUCCCUUAGGUUAACGACCUGUUUUAGUGAAGGAUCUCUUCAUUUUUAUAGUGCAUGGAAGCAUUUGAUACUCAUUUGAUAUUAGUUUAUCCAUUCAUCUAAAACAUCUUUGGCAUGGUUCCCUGCAUGGCUUUUCUCCUGACUUUAGGUCAUGAGGACUUGACUUUGUACUCUGACUGUAGUAACUACAUCGUUUUCUAGGAAGCAGUGUGCUUCCUGAAUGAAGUAGGGACGCAAUAAACUUCCAGGAGGUGUUCAUUUACGUUACCCCGCACAGAGUCGGACAUGACUGGGGUGACUUGGCAGCAGCUGCAGCCGCAGAAUCUUCCUCAUGAGAAGAAACUCUGUCUUCAUGAGAGUUUAAUAUUGACGCUAUCCAUUUGCCAUACCUGGGAGAAAAAUCCACCUUUACAUACUGUUUUCAGAGAGUGGUGUUUUAGACUUUAGCCUGUUUUGCAAAGUGUAGUAAGCAGGAUUGCAAGGUGGCCCCAAGACUUCUGAGCCUCUGCUUUAUUAUAUCAUCUAAUUGAAUAUGGAUGGAGCUCUGUGAAUAUAAUGAGAUCUCAGUUUAUGCUACUGGUACCUUAUAGGACAAAGAGAUAUUAUCUAUGUGGACCUGAUCUAAUCAUGCAAGCCCUCUGAAAGCAGAGCAGUUU
Molecule: long non-coding RNA, 1209 nt
Filed under: Capra hircus (goat)
Lineage: Eukaryota; Metazoa; Chordata; Mammalia; Artiodactyla; Bovidae
Description: lncRNA (ENSCHIG00010028919.1)
Source: RNAcentral